AUAGGAACCUGUUCUAUAAUUGAUAAUCCACGAUUAAUUGUACUUAAUUUAAUAGUUUGUAUAUCGUCGUUGUUGAAUGUCUUAGGAGAGAAAAAAUGUUCAUGAUUUAAAAUUUUAUUUAUAAAAAAAAUCAGAUCAAGAUACAGUUUAUAAUUAAGAAGAAAUGGGUUACAAUAAAAUUAUUUUUUGGUUAUAAUAAUUAACAUUAUUAUUUAAAUUGGAUUUGAAAGUAAUAUAUUUAAGUUAAAAUAUAUGAUUUAAGCUCUAAAAUAUGCACAUAUUGCCCGUCGCUUCCGUUGAUUUUUAAAAAUGGAAUAAGUCGUAACAUAGUAGAUGUACCGGAAGGUGUAUCUAGAAAGACUUCAAAUUAGAGCUUGAUAAGAAAGUAUUUUAUUUACAUUAAAAAGAUAAAUUGGGUAGAUCGAUUUAAUUUGAAUUUAAAAAUUUAUUUAAAAAUUUAUUUAAUUUUUUUUUAAAAAAAAUAUUUUUAUGUUUUUAAUAAUUUAGAUAAAAUUAUUAUAAUAAUAGUUUAUUAGUAUAGUGUUAGAAUAUAAAUUUAAUAAUUAAAAUUAAUAAAAGAAAAAUUAAUUUUUUGUACCUUGUGUAUCAGGGUUUAUUAAAUAAAAAUUAUAUAUUUAAUUUUCUCGAAUUUAAAAGAGUUAAAAAAUUAUAAAUUUUAUUGUUAAAUAAAUAUUUAAAAUAAUUUUUUAGUAAUGAAACGUUAGUCGUUUUUAAAUUUAUCUAGUUUUUUAAGAAAUAAAUUUAAUUUAGUUAAUUUUUUUAAUAAAAAUAAUUGGUAUAUUUUUAAUUAAUAUUUUUAAUUAAUAUUUUAAGGGAUAAGCUUUAAGAUAAAAUUUUUAUAAAUUUAAAAUUAUUAAUAUUAAAUUAGUAGAGUUAGAAGUUUUUUUCAUUAAUAUUGUGUUAUAACAAAUUUAAUAUUUAAAAUAUAAUUUUUGUAUAAUUUUAAAUAAUUUAUUAAAAUUAUUUAUUUAAUAAUAAAAUUUAUGUAAUAAUGAUAGAAUUAGUAUAAUUUAAUGUUUAAAAUUUUUAUUAAAGUAAGGUUAAUUUAAGGAAUUCGGCAAUUUAUUUUUUCGCCUGUUUAUUAAAAACAUGUCUUUUUGAUUAUAAUUUAAAGUCUAACCUGCCCAAUGAAUUAGUUUAGUUUUAAUGGCUGCGGUAUUUUGACCGUGCAAAGGUAGCAUAAUAAUUAGUUUCUUAAUUAGGAACUGGUAUGAAUGGUUGGACGAAAAGAAAACUGUCUCAGUUUAAUUUUAAUUAGAAUUUUAUUUUUAAGUUAAAAAGCUUAAAUAAUUUUAAAAGACGAGAAGACCCUAUAGAGUUUUAUAAUUAUUAAUAUAUUUAAAAAUUAAAGUAUUAUUUUAAUUUAUUUAUA
RNAcentral lists this ribosomal RNA (1393 nucleotides) under Monteithocanthon glaber. Its description in RNAcentral is "partial large subunit ribosomal RNA". Lineage: Eukaryota; Metazoa; Arthropoda; Insecta; Coleoptera; Scarabaeidae. The record is from RNAcentral.